GACCGCAUAGCUCAGUUGGCAGAUGUUGUGCAUUGGGCUAGUAUUCCAAAGGUCGUAGUUGUUGUUGAGCAUUGGGCUAGUAUUCCAAAGGUCGUAGGUUCGAAUCCUACCGUGGUCA
This is a non-coding RNA of Paramuricea clavata, 118 nucleotides long. Lineage: Eukaryota; Metazoa; Cnidaria; Anthozoa; Malacalcyonacea; Plexauridae. The record is from the annotation of a GenBank genome assembly.